RNAcentral lists this long non-coding RNA (452 nucleotides) under Mytilus galloprovincialis (Mediterranean mussel). Lineage: Eukaryota; Metazoa; Mollusca; Bivalvia; Mytilida; Mytilidae. The record is from RNAcentral.
UUGUUUACAAUAUAAGUAUGUUUGUUCUGGAUAGGAACAUUUUGAGUAUAUACAACAUAUACAUUGUGUGUAAGACACUCAGGACAGGAACAAUCUAUAAGUCAGUCCGUACUUGAUAUGUAUAUAUCAGUGAUUUAAGGCAACUUGCAGGACAGUAAAAUUUGCCCAGUUUGAAAUUGAAAAUAUUUUCCACAGUAAUUCAAUUUUGCGUUUCACAAGAAUUGUGGUAUAUAAUGCGGUCUCUAAUGAACAAAGAGUCUGAAAUUGCAUUAUAAUUACAUGUUUGCUGGAUUUUUAAUUUCCGUUCAUUGUUUUCAUCAUUGUAUUUAAUCGCCCCUUGAGAAAGUAAAACUUAACAUUAAUUAGCAUAUUUAACAAAUGUUAUCCCUUGACUCAUAUUUGUGUUCAGUAUUUACAUACAGGAUAUAUUGUGUGUUUGUAAGUGAAUUAAA